UGGGGAAUAUUGCACAAUGGAGGGAACUCUGAUGCAGCGACGCCGCGUGAGUGAUGAAGGAAUUCGUUUCGUAAAACUCUGUUCUAUGGGAAGAAAAGGACUGUACCAUAGGAGAAAGCUCCGGCUAAAUACGUGCCAGCAGCCGCGGUAAUACGUAUGGAGCGAGCGUUGUCCGGAAUUAUUGGGCGUAAAGGGUGCGCAGGCGGCUUUACAAGUUGGAUGUGAAAUAUUGUGGCUCAACCACAAACGUGCAUCCAAAACUGCAAAGCUUGAGUUAAGGAGAGGUAAGUGGAAUUCCUGGUGUAGCGGUGGAAUGCGUAGAUAUCAGGAGGAAUACCGGUGGCGAAAGCGACUUACUGGACUUAAACUGACGCUCAGGAACGAAAGCGUGGGGAGCAAACAGG
This 404-nucleotide ribosomal RNA is filed under the name Fusobacteriota bacterium. RNAcentral describes it as "Fusobacteria bacterium partial 16S ribosomal RNA". It matches the Rfam family "Bacterial small subunit ribosomal RNA", at positions 355 to 776 of the family's 1533-position model. The record is from RNAcentral. Lineage: Bacteria; Fusobacteriati; Fusobacteriota.